UUUACUUAGGUUAUUUACACAAAAAUUAUUUUUUUAAGAAAAUAAAAAAAAAAGUAUUACCUCAAGGAGUAGUAAAAAAUACUUCAAAAAAAAAUUUAAAAAGGAGGAAAGUUCAAAUCACUCCCUAUACUUUUAUCUGAUAUUCAAUUUAGUCUAAAAUUAGUUUUUUUUUCUUUUUAAUUUUAAUCUAAUUAAUUCACACCCUUUUAAUUUAAGAUUAAGCCUCUCAGCCUAAUUAUCACUCCUCCCAUCAGUGUUCAACCCAACUUUUGCUCCUCCCAAUUUGCCCUAGCACCUUUGAAAAAGAAAAAAAAAAAUUAGCACUAGCACCAGCACAAGCAACACUAACAACAACAAUAGCGAAGUUUUCUCCUUUGCUUUGAAUCCACAUUAUUUACCAGAUUGUCAAAAUGGUUUGAUUUGGGUCUCUACCAUCUCCUCAUCGCGCCACUAUAGCAGGCAUCCUUCUUGUGACUUCCAACUGAAGAAAUUUCCUCAGUGGUAAUGGACAAGAGAAUGGGAAGGAGACGGAUAAGAGAAUGAUGAUGGAGAUGAGAUAAGUAAACUGAUUAUUGUGCUUUGGUAAAAUAGUGGUGUUUUAAGUUGUUGAUAUCUUGAAAAUUGAGGUAAGCCUAGGGUUUAAUUUGGUUGGGAGAAAUUGACAUCAGUUACAGUUGAAGGAAGAUUUAGAAGAGAAGGCCAGCAAAAAGGAUGUAAAUAGACUUAAAUAAAAAAAAAUUAUUUGGCUUAA
Molecule: long non-coding RNA, 751 nt
Organism: Hevea brasiliensis (rubber tree)
Lineage: Eukaryota; Viridiplantae; Streptophyta; Magnoliopsida; Malpighiales; Euphorbiaceae
Exons: 2
Source: RefSeq, a predicted model, not a curated record